GUGUCAGCAGCCGCGGUAAUACGGAGGGUGCGAGCGUUGUUCGGAAUUAUUGGGCGUAAAGCGCGUGCAGGCGGUUUUGCAAGUCUGAUGUGAAAGCCCCGGGCCCAACCUGGGAAGUGCAUUGGAAACUGCAAGACUUGAAUACGGGAGAGGAGAGUGGAAUUCCUGGUGUAGGGGUGAAAUCCGUAGAUAUCAGGAAGAACACCGGUGGCGAAGGCGGCUCUCUGGACCGAUAUUGACGCUGAGACGCGAAAGCGUGGGGAGCAAACAGGAUUAGAUACCCUGGUAGUCC
Molecule: ribosomal RNA, 292 nt
Filed under: uncultured bacterium
Lineage: Bacteria
Description: partial 16S ribosomal RNA
Rfam family: Bacterial small subunit ribosomal RNA
Source: RNAcentral